Long non-coding RNA from Haemorhous mexicanus (house finch), 358 nucleotides. RefSeq lists it as uncharacterized. The record is from RefSeq and is a predicted model, not a curated record. The transcript has 2 exons. Lineage: Eukaryota; Metazoa; Chordata; Aves; Passeriformes; Fringillidae.
CAGCCCCCCGGCGUCCCCCGGCCACCGGCGCCGCCCCCCGGCCCCCCCGGGACCUGCAGACAGGUCGCCUGCUGGAACCACUGGGAGCACUGGGAGCACUGGGAGCUCCACUGGGAGCACUGGGAGCACUGGGAGGACUGGGAGGAGCUGCGGGGGGGCCACUGGGAGCACUGGGAGCUGUGGGAGCUCCACUGGGAGCACUGGGAGCACUGGGAGGGCCACUGGGAGCACUGGGAGGAGCUGCAGGGGGGCCACUGGGAGCACUGGGAGCACUGGGAGGGCCACUGGGAGCACUGGGGCCACUCCCGGGGGUCCCCCUGGGGCCGUGAGCUGGGGGACAAUAAAGCCACUGAUGUCA